RNAcentral lists this ribosomal RNA (253 nucleotides) under uncultured bacterium. RNAcentral describes it as "partial 16S ribosomal RNA". It matches the Rfam family "Bacterial small subunit ribosomal RNA", at positions 524 to 776 of the family's 1533-position model. The record is from RNAcentral.
UACGGAAGGGGCAAGCGUUGCUCGGAAUCAUUGGGCGUAAAGGGCGCGUAGGUGGUUCUGUAUGUCUACCGUGAAAGCGUACGGCUCAACUGUAUUUUGUCGGUAGAAACUGCAGGACUUGAGGCUGGGAGGGGCUGGUGGAAUUCCCUGUGUAGCGGUGAAAUGCGUAGAGAUGGGGGAGAACACUCGUGGCGAAGGCGGCCAGCUAGACCAGUUCUGACACUGAGGCGCGACAGCGUGGGGAGCAAACAGG